This 409-nucleotide ribosomal RNA is filed under the name uncultured Treponema sp. RNAcentral describes it as "bacterial SSU rRNA". It matches the Rfam family "Bacterial small subunit ribosomal RNA", at positions 354 to 773 of the family's 1533-position model. Lineage: Bacteria; Pseudomonadati; Spirochaetota; Spirochaetia; Treponematales; Treponemataceae. The record is from RNAcentral.
UGGGGGAAUAUUGCACAAUGGGGGGAAACCCGUACGAUGCAGCAACGCCGCGUGAGUGAAGAAGUAUUUCGGUAUGUAAAGACUCUAUCAGCAGGGAAGAAAAUAGACGGUACCUGACUAAGAAGCCCCGGCCUAACUACGUGCCAGCAGCCGCGGUAAUACGUAAGUUGCGAGCGUUGUUCGGAAUUAUUGGGCGUAAAGGGCAUGUAGGCGGUAUUGCAAGCCUGGUGUGAAAGGCAGGGGCUCAACCUCUGGACUGCGCUGGGAACUGCGAUACUAGAGUCGCUGAGGGGCAAUCAGAAUUCCAGGUGUAGGGGUGAAAUCUGUAGAUAUCUGGAAGAAUACCAAUGGCGAAGGCAGGUUGCCAGCAGAUGACUGACGCUGAGGUGCGAAGGUGCGGGGAGCAAAC